GUUGCGUAAAGAUGCUCGCCAAGGCGGCCGCCAAGAGGAGCAUUCCGCCGCCGAUAUAAGCAAUGGCCGUGCUAAGGCUUCGUUUAGUUUGUGCUCAAGUCGGCAAAGGAUUCUCACAGGUGAAAUUCAUAAUAGGGUGGUCUUGGAUCUAUGGUAUAACAUUUGUAUUGCUCAGUAGUGGAGCUUUGAAAACUCCGCCAUGAAUUUUGAGACGCCCACAAUACCGGCCUUUUAUGAGGGGCGCUCCGUCUUCAUUACUGGUGCAACAGGAUUUAUUGGAAAGGUCUUACUGGAGAAACUGCUACGUUCAUGUCCCGGAAUCAAGUAUGUUUAUAUCCUAAUGAGAGAGAAAAAAGGAAAAGAACCAAGACUGCGCCUCGAGGAACUUCUGAAUUGCAAGGUAUUUGAUCGUUUAAAGAAAGAGAAGCCCGAAGCUAUUCAAAAAGUAAUUGGCAUUACAGGAGAUCUUUCAUUGCCUCAGCUGGGAGUGUCUCCUGCUGAUCUUGCAGCCAUGGCAAAAAACGUGUCUAUCGUCUUCCAUUCAGCGGCCACAGUCAAAUUUGACGAACCUCUAAAGCAAGCUAUCGACAUGAACGUUCUGGCAACUAGGCGGAUGAUCGAACUGUGUCAUAAGUUACCAAACAUUGUCGCUGUGAUUCAUGUGUCGACAGCGUACGCAAAUUGCAACAGAAAACAGGUAGACGAAGUUGUCUAUCCUGCUCCAAUUCCUCCAAAUCAAAUCAUAGAAGCGACAGAAUGGAUGGAACCAGCGUUACUAGAUUCAAUCACACCAAAACUAAUAGGAGACCGACCGAAUACUUACACUUUCACCAAAGCACUAGCGGAGAAUCUUCUUGUUGAUGAAUGUGGUUCUCUGCCAGUGGCGAUUGUUCGGCCUUCUAUUGUCAGCGCUGCAUGGAAAGAGCCCUAUCCGGGAUGGAUCGACAAUCUGAAUGGUCCUGCUGGAAUAAUUGUCGCGGGCGGCAAGGGCGUUCUGCGAACUAUGAUCAUUCAUGGUGAAGUGACCGCUGAUAUCAUACCUGUGGAUGUGGUCGUUAACCUUAUGAUCGCAGUUGCGUGGUACACGGCUACGCAAAGACCGAAUAGCAUCUUGGUAUACAACUGCACCUCUGGAUCACUAAACAAAACUACAUGGGAUGAUAUAAUGGCAGUGACGUAUCCAUACCUACUCAAGUAUCCUAGCGCUGAACUUUUCCGGUAUCCCAAAGGUAGUUUCCGUCGAAAUCAAACCAUCAACACCAUGUGUAUAGCAUUUCAACACUAUCUUCCAGCUCUGUUUGUAGAUCUCAUGGCAUAUCUCUUUUUUCAGAAACCUGGGUUUUCUUUUUUGAUAUCCGUAAGCUAAACUGGUCUUACUUUUGGGAAAAUCAUGUUUUAGGUUGUCGGAAAUUCAUACUGAAAGAAGAUCCGUCUACGAUACCAGCUGCGAGAAAGAGUCUGAGAAGGAGAUACUUCAUCUCUCAGUUCAUUCACUUCUUGGUGGCAGUAGGCGUCUGGAAGAUAUUUUUCUCUCGUAUAUUUUCGGUCAGCAAUGUGUGGUAUGCCUUGUCUGCUACAGCUCUGAAAGUCCACGGAUUGAUGCAGG
This 1606-nucleotide unclassified non-coding RNA is filed under the name Stegodyphus dumicola. RNAcentral describes it as "putative fatty acyl-CoA reductase CG5065, transcript variant X2". The record is from RNAcentral. Lineage: Eukaryota; Metazoa; Arthropoda; Arachnida; Araneae; Eresidae.